ACACCAUCAUUCUACUGCAGAAAUAUCUGUUCAGAGCACCAUUAUAUUACCGCGGAAAUAUCUAAUCAUAACAUCAGCUUUCUACUGCAGGAUUAUCUAUUGAGAACACCAUCAUUCUACUGCAGAAAUAUCUGUUCAGAGCACCAUUAUAUUACUGCUGAAAUAUCUAAUCAUAACAUCAGCUUUUUCUUGCAGGAUUACCUAUUGAGAACACCAGCAUUCUACUGCAGAUUUAUCUACUCAGAAUGUCAUGAUUCUACUGCCACAGUAUCUAACCAUAACACCAGCAUUCUACUGUAGAAAUAUUUAUUCAGAACACCAUCAGUCUACUGCCAAAAUAUCUAAUCAUAACACCAGCAUUCUACUGCAGAAAAAUCUAUUCAGAACACCAUCAGUCUGCUGCCAAAAUAUCUAUUAAUAACACCAUCAUUCUACUGCAGAAAUAUAUGUUCAGAACACCAUCCGUCUACUGCCAAAAUAUCUAAUCAUAACACCAGCAUUCUACUGCAGAAUUAUCUAUUGAGAACACAAGCUUUCUACUGCAGAAUCAUCUGGUCAGAAUGCCAUGAUUCUACUGCAGAAAUAUCCAAUCAUAACACAAGCAUUCUACUACAGAAAUAUCUAUUCAGAAUACCAUCAUUCUACUGCAGAAAUAUCUAUUGAGAACACCAGCAUUCUACUCCAACAAUAUCUAAUCACAUAACACCAGCAUUCUAGUGCAGAACAUAUAUCAAGAGCACUGUUGUUUUACUGCCGGAAUAACUAUUUAUGGAAUUCUAAACAGCUCCACCUUUCUACUGCAGGCACAGCUGAUCAGACAGCCAUUUUAUCCCUGGUGCUUCCAGCCAGAACACCAACACGGUUAUUCACUAAACACUGCAUUCUAACAAAUUUAAUUACAAAAAUGAAGCUAAUAUAGCAGGUUUACAAAACAAUCUCCAGCUUGGCUAUUUCAGUCUACAGUCCCAGCUUGGCUAUUUCAGUCUCAUUUUUGACAUUCAUAUCACAUUCGCAAAAAUUUGGUGUUAGUGAAUAACCCUUUAGUAAAUCAGCACUACCACAAACAUACACAGAACAUCUCCUGUCUAUUGCAGGUAAUCUUGGCAGAUAAUCGCCAUUCUACCAUAGGCAUCUAGAAAGCACUCUAUAAAUGUCUAAAUGCAACCAACCUUUACUUCGUAACAUUAUUAAUUCUCUCUAGAAAAUACUAUUCACUAUAAUAAGGCCUUGUUCAACUGAGGACGAAAGGGACUUAUUUAGCUGUAGGCAAGUCUUCAUUCCGUCUUGGCUCUAGAUCAAUAACUACAUUACCCUUGAUGCUGAAAGGUAUCCAGAAAAGUUGCUACAUUGUUAUUGGAAAGGAUUACUCAAAUGCCUCACAAUGUGGAAUCUUGUCCAUCAUUUCCCUCAGCUUCCUGAAGAAAAGCCAAAAAACCCUAAAACGUGUACAGAAAACAAAUGUGUUCAUCAUAAUUUCUCCUUUGAAAUACACUGAAUAAUACAUAAUCUUUUGCCCGUUUUCGGACCACACUUCUAAAAUAGAUGGACCUCUUUUACUAUCAGGUUGAAGUUAGAACAAAACUCAAUUUAGGGGUGAUGGAGCCUCAUCCAUAAGUAGAUAGCGGCUGCCUAAAGCCCAGGGAUUACCAGGGCCCAAGAACUUUGAAUUUGCUUGGCCCUAUUAAGCAUACCUUUGUGAAGAACGAUGGGGGGCCCAAACUGGUAACCUACCUACAACCACCCCGUGGGACCUUAAUCCUUCCCAUGAAGUCUACGCAAUGACCUAGAGGUUCCUUCCCUAAGCAAUGCAUUGAUAUUUAAAUAAAC
Molecule: long non-coding RNA, 1827 nt
Filed under: Pelobates cultripes (western spadefoot toad)
Lineage: Eukaryota; Metazoa; Chordata; Amphibia; Anura; Pelobatidae
Source: RNAcentral